GGUGUAGCUCCAACCCUAAAGAGUGCCUGGCUCACCAUAGUCAUAAAAAGAAUGAAAUAAUGCCAUUUGCAACAACAUGGAUGGACCUAGAGAUUAUCAUACUAAGUGAAGCAAGUCAGAAAGAGAAAGACAAAUGCCAUAUGAUAUCAUUUAUAUGUGGAAUCUUAAAAAAGGAUACAAAUGAACCUAUUUACAAAACAGAAACAGACUCACACACAUAGAAAAAAACUUAUGGCUACCAAAGUGGUGGAGGAGGGAUAGAGUAGGAGUUUGGAAUGAGCAGACACAAACUCUUAUACAUAAAAUAGAUAAAUAACAAGGACUUACUGUAUAGCACAGGAAACUAUAUUCACUACCUUGUAAUAACCUAUAAUGGACUAGAAUCUGAAAAAUAAUAUGUAUAUCUGAAUUACUUUGCUGUACACCAGAAACUAACACAACAUUGUAAAUCAACUAUACUUCAAUUCAAUUAAAAAAAAAAAAAGAAUGGGGUAUUCCCCUGUGACACAGCAGGAUAAGAAUCCAGUGUUGUCACUACAGUGGUUCAGGUUGGAGCUGUGACAUGGGUACAAUCCCUGGCCUGGGAACUUCUGUACGCUGCAGGUGUGGCUUAAAAAAAAAAAAAAAAAAAAAAGAAUGGCUAAUACUGUGAGAAAAAUAAUGUAAAAACACUCAUUUGCUUGACUUGACUUCACUCAUUAAGGAAUAAUUGCACAGGACCAUCUAGAAAGAGAAAUGUGAUGUGAGCCCAGGUCCCCAACUCAAUGCCACAUUUGUCCUUUUCUGUUUGGAAAGGCUGGGGAUUUCCUAUUCCCUGUCUAUUCCUCCCCUUCAGUCCUUCCUCCAUUAAAACAAUGUGCUACCAAACAAAACACAAAGUUCCAAAAUGAUUAUUUGAAAUUAUUUAGUUUUUACCCUCCCUAGGUUAUGACCAGGUAAAAGCAAUAAAAACAAAAUCAAGGGAGUUCCCAUUAUGGCACAGUGGUAAAGAACCUGACUAGUAUCUAUGAAGACACAGGUUCAAUCCCUGGCCUCACUCACUGGGUUAAGGAUCUGGCAUUGCUAUGAGCUGUGGUAUAGGUCGCAGAUGUGAUAUGGAUCCUGUGUUGUUAUGGCUGUGGCGCAGGCCUGCAGCUGCAGCUCUGAUUCAGCCCCUGGCCUGGAAACUUCCACAUGUCAUAGGUGUGGCCCUUAAAGCAAAAAAAAAAAAAAAAAAAACAAAAAAAAAAAAAAAAAAAAAAAAAAAAAAACCAAAAAACAAGAACAAAUAAAUAAACAAAAAACCACACAAGACUUUGGGGCCUAAUUACUGACCAAAUGUCAUCCUCUCCAAUCACUUUGAUGGCUUAUUUCUUUUUAAAAUUCAGCACACCCCUACAGGAGUGAGAGGCAGUAAGGACUGGCCUGUGGUGGUGACAGUAGACAUGGAAAAAGACAGAUGGUAGAGACUUUGGGAUUAGCUGGAUGCAAGGCUGGAAGGAAAGGAGAAGACAAAGGGGUGGGGAGGGGUCCUGCUGGAGCUCCCAGGAGACUCAUAUCAUCACUGAGCAGGUCCGAGAAACAGGAGGGUCAAGCUGAGUAGGAAGGAAAGAUGCGGAAUUUGCCUCUCCUGUGUUUCCUUGUUAUGCUUCAGCUGCACCAACCACAGCACCGUCAUCUCAUCAGUUCAUGUGAAAAGACGAUUUCUUCCUGAAGUUUCUUCUGCCAGAUCUCCCCAUGGCUGGCUUAGUGUCAACAUCACCUCUUCAGAAAGGCCCUCCUGACCAACUGAAGUAGCCAUCCAGCCUCUUGUCUCUGUCCGUGUUUUGUUUUCUUCAGGGCCCUCAGCACCACCUGAGGUUUCCUUGUUUAUCCAUUUCUGGUCCAUGUCUCCUCAGCUACAGUGUGGCUUCUAGGAGAGCAGAAGCCUCCUUCGUCCACUCGACCACAUUGGAUUUGCGGAGAUUGUGUCGAGGGCAGAGCAGGCUCUCAGGUGACACGAAAGGGGAAAGUCACCUAAGCUAUACAAGCUUUGGCAGGCUCAGAGCCCUAAUCUAAGAAGGAGAGAGCAAUUUAUCUUCCAGUCUCCCACAGACUCAGUCCCGGUAUUGCUUCUCAUAGAAAAACAGGAAACAAAGUAAGCCUCCAUCAUGGAGUUCCAGUCGUGGUGCAGCAGAAACGAAUCCGACUAGGAACCAUGAGGUUGCAGGUUCGAUCCCUGGCCUCGCUCAGUGGGUUAAAGAUCUGGUGUUGCCGUGAGCUGUGGUGUAGGUCGCAGACGCGACUUGGAUCUGGCGUUGCUGUGGCCUUGGUGUAGCCCGGCAGCUACAGCUCCAAUUAGACCCCUAGCCUGGGAAACUCCAUAUGCUGAGGGUGUGGCCCUAAAAGGCAAAAACACAAAACAAAACAAAACACAACAUAGAAUCCCGUGUGACCUGGCCAUUAAAAAUGGUAAUGAGAGUAUCUGCUGCAGAUGGAAACACACGUACCCUUUCUCCGACCCAACGAUCCCAUUCCUGUAUCUAUCCCCACCAGGAACGCAUGUGCACAGCCACCAAACUACAUGCAAAAGAAUGCGCACAGCAGCCCAACUCACAAUAGCCCCAAACUGGGCCAAAAUGUCCAUUAACAGCAGACUGGAUCACGUGUGACUGCGAUUGCCGAGAAUGCUGUCUAGCCGUGAGGGCAGAUCAACAACCCACACAACGACGUGGAUGAAUCUCACAAACAGAACGUGGAGUAAAAGAGGAAAGAAAGAGACGUUCUGUGCAGUUCAGUUCCAUUUACAGGAAGUUCAAAAGCAGGCACAGCUAAUCCCAGGCUGGUGGAAGGCAGGACACAGGUUAUCUGGGAAAGGAGUGCUGACGGGGAGAGGGCAGGAGAAACUUCCAAAAUGUGGGAAAUGUCCUGUUUCUUGAUCUGCUUCCUGGGUGCAGAGCUGUGUUCACUUUUUGAAAAUGUGUGGUGUUUCACACAUAUGACUUGCACUCUUUCCUGUGUGUAUGUGAUACAUCAAACGAAGAAAGAAAGGAAAAAGGAGGCAGAUCUACAUUUAUUGACGUGGCACAUGGGAAGACGUGCCGGCCUCAGCACAGAGAGGACAGGUACGCCCCUGUAGUAUAGUCAUUCCAGUUAUGCUAAGUUGCAGAAGCAGAGCUCUAAGGACCUAUAUGAAAAGAAGGUCACUCCAGGAAACAGUUCUCGUAGAGGUUAACGGUGCUUACCUUGGAGUCGGAGUGUGACUUUUGUUUAGUUUUGACUGUUUUAUACUUCUCUAUUUGUUUGCAUUUGUGUCUAGCAUAUGCAUCACUUUAUCCUCAGAGAAUGGUUUUUAUUUUUAAAAAACGCCUCCUUGAUGAAAAGGAAAAGGAAAACCUGCUUUUUAUUUCCCCCAGAAGCAAACCAAAGUCUACUGACCAAAGUCUACUGAAGAAAGUGACCAGGGACAGGACACAUACACGGUGGGCCUCUAACUCGAUUUGCAACUGCGCCAGGUUGUAAGCAUUUCCAAGGCUGGUCCUGGACAGAGCAGCCACUGUCUUUCAUGCCAACAGACAUGAAAACGGUAAAAAUGUGAGGGUGGACGAAGGGAGAGGUCGGAGUCUGCGGGAGUUCAGGGUAAAUGCUAUAGAAGUUGCAGGUGACCUGUUCUCCCUCCCUUUGAAGCAGAGAGCAGAUGGGUCCGUUUAUUAAAGGAAAGUAACCUCCAUUUAUCAUUCUUCAGCCUCUAAUCCGUAUGCUGUCCACCAUGGCGCUACCUCUCUUUGGCUCGGGUUGAGGGAUUCUACCAGUUUUGUCCCAGCCCUGCCUUCCCCAGCGUGCGAGACUUUCCUAUUUCUCCCUCAGCUCCCUUUCCCACCCAGAGCCUCCUCCACAAGCUCACAUACUCCAAAUUCUUUGACUGGGGGAUACAGUACUUUCUUGUACAAAGCCCAAGCUAAAAAUGUAAAUAACCCCGGGUGAGUUAACACAUGGCCUUAAUAUUCACACUAAGGUGUAAAUGUCUAAUAUAAGUUCGAAAGUGGAAGCUCCGAUGGGGGGAUGGGCACAGGGGAAGAAAGGCCCCUGUUUCCGCCCAGAGUUGGCCAGGUUGUGAUGGCACCUCCGUCCCCUCCACCGCAGCCCCCACCCCCACGCAGGCCUGUCCAGAAGAUCCCAAGCCACCCAGAAGCAGAAGGCAGCUCCCAUCACCCUGACCAGAUCUAUAUCCAUUCCAGACUCAGGAUUACAAUAAUUUGGGAGAGGGUCAACCAAGUCAGAGCCCCAGAUGGCAGAAGAGCUGCUUUAGCUUAAGACUCUUAACUCUUUUUCCUCGGGGCAGGAAAGGUUUGAGACAAUGAAGGAUGAGGCUUUCCAGGCCCGGGACACAACCUUGAUCCAAAGCCUAGUCAUGGCUUUAAUUUCUGUAAAUCAAAGCCUCAAGUUUUUCUUCACUCUCUUAGCUGAAGACAUGUUACCCAGGAUGGAGGGGGGAAAGAAAGGAAUAAUAGGUACCAAAUUGGAGGUUGUGUGACAUCCUGUGCCACUUAAACCCUUUGCAGGCAGGCAGAAAUCACUGCUUUACUAAAUUCCAUUUCCUAAGCGUUUUUUCCCCCCACUCCCAACCAUUGUCUUCACAGGAUCAUCCCAUACUUGGAAAACAUUUGUCUAAUUAUCAUCACACACGAUGGGCCUAUUGCCAGCUGCUUUUUAUUUUAACUUCAGAUUCUUUCCAGGGUGUUUGUUGUUUUUUUUUUUUUCCUCGGGGGUGGGGAGCGGGAGAGAGGAGUGCAUGUCUGUUUUUGCUAUUACGCAGAACCGAUCAGAUUUCCUUUUAUAAUCACAAUUAAACUUCCAGAUCCGAUCAUGUGAAUCCUUCAUGUUUAGAGGAUUGGAAUGCUCAUUGAUUCGGUCAGUCGCACAAAACUUUCCAAGUCU
Molecule: long non-coding RNA, 4896 nt
Filed under: Sus scrofa (pig)
Lineage: Eukaryota; Metazoa; Chordata; Mammalia; Artiodactyla; Suidae
Description: lncRNA (ENSSSCG00055001646.1)
Source: RNAcentral